Molecule: ribosomal RNA, 253 nt
Filed under: uncultured bacterium
Lineage: Bacteria
Description: partial 16S ribosomal RNA
Rfam family: Bacterial small subunit ribosomal RNA
Source: RNAcentral
GACGUAGGGCGCGAGCGUUGUCCGGAUUUAUUGGGCGUAAAGAGCUCGUAGGCGGCUUGUCGCGUCGAAUGUGAAAUCUCAGGGCUCAACUCUGACAUUGCAUUCGAUACGGGCAGGCUAGAGUUCGGUAGGGGAGACUGGAAUUCCUGGUGUAGCGGUGAAAUGCGCAGAUAUCAGGAGGAACACCGGUGGCGCAAGCGGCGCUCUGGGCCAUACCUGACACUGAGAUACGAAGGCAUGGGUAGCGAACGGG